GACGAACGCUGGCGGUGUGCUUAACACAUGCAAGUCGAACGGUAAGGCCCUUUCGGGGGUACACGAGUGGCGAACGGGUGAGUAACACGUGAGUAACCUGCCCUCAUCUCUGGGAUAACAGUCGGAAACGGUUGCUAAUACUGGAUAUGAGCUUGCAAGGCAUCUUGUGGGUUGGAAAGAUUUUUUUUGGUUGGGGAUGGACUCGCGGCCUAUCAGCUUGUUGGUGAGGUAGUGGCUCACCAAGGCUUCGACGGGUAGCCGGCCUGAGAGGGCGACCGGCCACAUUGGGAAUGAGAUACGGCCCAAACUCCUACGGGAGGCAGCAGUGGGGAAUAUUGCACAAUGGACGGAAGUCUGAUGCAGCAACGCCGCGUGCGGGAUGACGGCCUUCGGGUUGUAAACCGCUUUCAAUUGUGACGAAGCUUUUUUGUGACGGUAGCAGUAGAAGAAGCACCGGCUAACUACGUG
This 468-nucleotide ribosomal RNA is filed under the name uncultured bacterium. Its description in RNAcentral is "partial 16S ribosomal RNA". It matches the Rfam family "Bacterial small subunit ribosomal RNA", at positions 28 to 507 of the family's 1533-position model. The record is from RNAcentral.